Saccostrea cuccullata (small rock oyster) is the source of this 283-nucleotide long non-coding RNA. RefSeq lists it as uncharacterized. The record is from RefSeq and is a predicted model, not a curated record. NCBI's taxonomy places the organism in Eukaryota, Metazoa, Mollusca, Bivalvia, Ostreida, Ostreidae. The transcript is spliced from 3 exons.
GAAAACUGUGUGACUUUAAAAGAAAACCAGUGAGAUAAAAUUGUAGAAAAUGUAUGAUGAUUCAGGAUGUGGUCAUUUGUGACAUUAAAACAGGAAUUGUCAUCACCAAUAGACGAAUUUCACAUUCCUAAGAGUUUCCUCCAAUUGUCGGCGCAUCGCUCAUUUUCCCCACUUUGUCCUUUGUCCUGUUCUGUGGAUGCCCUUAGACAGUGUCUACCCAUCACUCCAUCUGAAAUCACUUGUUCUGUGCAUAUUUCUCUCUCAAACUUAAACUACAGAGAGC